This 255-nucleotide ribosomal RNA is filed under the name uncultured bacterium. RNAcentral's name for it is "partial 16S ribosomal RNA". It matches the Rfam family "Bacterial small subunit ribosomal RNA", at positions 524 to 776 of the family's 1533-position model. The record is from RNAcentral.
UACGUAGGGUGCGAGCGUUGUCCGGAUUUACUGGGCGUAAAGGGCGCGUAGGCGGUCGUGACAAGUCACUUGUGAAAUCUCCGGGCUUAACUCGGAACGGUCAAGUGAUACUGUCGGACUAGAGUACAGAAGGGGCAACUGGAAUUCUCGGUGUAGCGGUGAAAUGCGUAGAUAUCGAGAGGAACACCUGCGGCGAAGGCGGGUUGCUGGGCUGAUACUGACGCUGAGGCGCGAAAGCCCAGGGGAGCGAACGGG